This 477-nucleotide ribosomal RNA is filed under the name uncultured soil bacterium. RNAcentral describes it as "bacterial SSU rRNA". It matches the Rfam family "Bacterial small subunit ribosomal RNA", at positions 26 to 515 of the family's 1533-position model. The record is from RNAcentral.
AGGAUGAACGCUGGCGGCGUGCUUAACACAUGCAAGUCGAACGAUGAAGGCUGGAGCUUGCUCUGGCUGGAUUAGUGGCGAACGGGUGAGUAACACGUGAGUAACCUGCCCCAGACUCUGGGAUAAGCGCUGGAAACGGCGUCUAAUACCGGAUACGAGCUUCCACCGCAUGGUGAGGAGCUGGAAAGAAUUUCGGUCUGGGAUGGACUCGCGGCCUAUCAGCUUGUUGGUGAGGUAAUGGCUCACCAAGGCGACGACGGGUAGCCGGCCUGAGAGGGUGACCGGCCACGACUGGGACCGAGACACGGCCCAGACUCCUACGGGAGGCAGCAGUGGGGAAUAUUGCACAAUGGCGAAAGCCUGAUGCAGCGACGCCGCGUGAGGGAUGACGGCCUUCGGUUGUAAACCUCUUUCAGCAGGACGAAGCGCAAGUGACGGUACCUGCAGAAGAAGCACGGCUAACUACGUGCCAGCAAG